GGGACAUUAAUAAUUUAGGGGCUUUGUCCUCGCGGUGAACCGCAUGUAUAUGCGUAAAUCAGAGCCCAUGUGUAUGUGUGUGUAUGUGUGUGUGUGCGUGUGCGUUCUGCGCGCGCUCUGUUCACUAGCUGCGGCAACAAGUAGCGUUUUGGACUCGAGCCCGUUCGACACGAAAAGAUAAUAAGACAUAAAUAUCUGUAUAUAUCCAUAUAAUACUUGUAAUGCAUUGUAUUUAUAAACGACGGUAAAACGUUUUGGUCUUAUAUUAUGGUCUCUAUAGUGUGCGAAAUACACGCCCGGAAAACGAUAACCGCGCGUGAUGUACGACGUCCACGUGAGCCCUUCUACUUGCGGGUCGCCGCAUGGCGCCCGGUCGUUAAAUUGAUGUCCACGGUGUGUGUUUCACUCAAACGGUAGCGCUAAAUAUUUUAUCCGGACGGUCUUUGACG
Molecule: non-coding RNA, 449 nt
Organism: Cinara cedri
Lineage: Eukaryota; Metazoa; Arthropoda; Insecta; Hemiptera; Aphididae
Source: the annotation of a GenBank genome assembly